RNAcentral lists this non-coding RNA (117 nucleotides) under Homo sapiens (human). Lineage: Eukaryota; Metazoa; Chordata; Mammalia; Primates; Hominidae. The record is from Rfam by way of RNAcentral.
GCCGGGCGUGGUGGCUCAUGCCUGUAAUCCCAGCACUUUGGGAGGCCGAGGCGGGUGGAUCACCUGAGGUCAGGAGUUCGAGACCAGCCUGGCCAACAUGGUGAAACCCCGUCUUUA